RNAcentral lists this ribosomal RNA (407 nucleotides) under fungal sp. P2N26. Its description in RNAcentral is "eukaryotic LSU rRNA". The stretch from base 63 to 216 matches the Rfam family "5.8S ribosomal RNA". The record is from RNAcentral. Lineage: Eukaryota; Fungi.
GCUGGACAAUACAAUAACCUUUUUAAUUUUCAAUCAGCGUCUGAAAAAAACUUAAUAAUUACAACUUUCAACAACGGAUCUCUUGGUUCUGGCAUCGAUGAAGAACGCAGCGAAAUGCGAUAAGUAGUGUGAAUUGCAGAAUUCAGUGAAUCAUCGAAUCUUUGAACGCACAUUGCGCCCCUUGGUAUUCCAUGGGGCAUGCCUGUUCGAGCGUCAUUUGUACCUUCAAGCUUUGCUUGGUGUUGGGUGUUUGUCCUCCCCGUUUGUGUUUGGACUCGCCUUAAAACAAUUGGCAGCCAGUGUUUUGGUAUAGAAGCGCAGCACAAGUCGCGAUUCUAGCCAAUCAACGCUGACAUCCAGAAGUCUUUUUUUUAACUUUGACCUCGGAUCAGGUAGGUCCAAUUCCA